This 253-nucleotide ribosomal RNA is filed under the name uncultured bacterium. RNAcentral describes it as "partial 16S ribosomal RNA". It matches the Rfam family "Bacterial small subunit ribosomal RNA", at positions 524 to 776 of the family's 1533-position model. The record is from RNAcentral.
UACGGGGGGGGCAAGCGUUGUUCGGAAUUACUGGGCGUAAAGGGCGCGUAGGCGGCCUUCUAAGUCGGACGUGAAAUCCCUCGGCUUAACCGAGGAACUGCGUCCGAUACUGAAAGGCUUGAAUCCGGGAGAGGGAUGUGGAAUUCCAGGUGUAGCGGUGAAAUGCGUAGAUAUCUGGAGGAACACCGGUGGCGAAGGCGGCAUUCUGGACCGAAACUGACGCUGAGGCGCGAAAGCCAGGGGAGCAAACGGG